GACGAACGCUGGCGGCGUGCUUAACACAUGCAAGUCGAACGGAAAGGCCCUGCUUUUGUGGGGUGCUCGAGUGGCGAACGGGUGAGUAACACGUGAGUAACCUGCCCUUGACUUUGGGAUAACUUCAGGAAACUGGGGCUAAUACCGGAUAGGAGCUCCUGCUGCAUGGUGGGGGUUGGAAAGUUUCGGCGGUUGGGGAUGGACUCGCGGCUUAUCAGCUUGUUGGUGGGGUAGUGGCUUACCAAGGCUUUGACGGGUAGCCGGCCUGGGAGGGUGACCGGCCACAUGGGGACUGAGAUACGGCCCAGAUUCCUACGGGAGGCAGCAGUGGGGAAUAUUGCACAAGGGGCGGAAGCCUGAUGCAGAAACGCCGCGUGCGGGAUGACGGCCUUCGGGUUGUAAACCGCUUUCGCCUGUGACGAAGCGUGAGUGACGGUAAUGGGUAAAGAAGCACCGGCUAACUACGUG
RNAcentral lists this ribosomal RNA (468 nucleotides) under uncultured bacterium. RNAcentral's name for it is "partial 16S ribosomal RNA". It matches the Rfam family "Bacterial small subunit ribosomal RNA", at positions 28 to 507 of the family's 1533-position model. The record is from RNAcentral.